GAGGGAUCGUUCAUUAUUUGCGAUAGAGAGCAUGGGGAAGGGAAAUUAGCAUAGGUGAUGUAACGAGCGCAACCCUCGCCGGUAGGUGCCAGCAUUCAGUUGGUCACUCUAAGGGGACUGCCGGUGAUAAACCGAGAGGAAGGUGGGGAAGACGUCAAGUCCUCAUGGCCCUUACGGGCUGGGCUACACACGUGCUACAAUGGUGGUGACAGUGGGCAGCGAGCACGCGAGUGUGAGCUAAUCUCCAAAAGCCAUCUCAGUUCGGAUUGCACUCUGCAACUCGAGUGCAUGAAGUUGGAAUCGCUAGUAAUCGCGGAUCAGCAUGCCGCGGUGAAUACGUUCCCGGGCCUUGUACACACCGCCCGUCACACCAUGGGAGUUGGUUUUACCCGAAGGCGCUGUGCUAACCGCAAGGAGGCAGGCGACCACGGUAGGGUCAGCGACUGGGGUGAAGUCGAACAAGUGUCUAGGACCAA
RNAcentral lists this ribosomal RNA (476 nucleotides) under Ochrobactrum sp. SV2B5. RNAcentral describes it as "bacterial SSU rRNA". It matches the Rfam family "Bacterial small subunit ribosomal RNA", at positions 1035 to 1508 of the family's 1533-position model. Lineage: Bacteria; Pseudomonadati; Pseudomonadota; Alphaproteobacteria; Hyphomicrobiales; Brucellaceae. The record is from RNAcentral.